UACAGAGGGUGCGAGCGUUGUUCGGAAUUACUGGGCGUAAAGCGCGCGCAGGCGGCCUUUUAAGUCUGCUGGUGAAAUGCCGGGGCUCAACCCCGUGCCCGCCACAGAUACUGGGAGGCUGGAGACGAGUAGAGGCAAGCGGAAUUCCGGGUGUAGCGGUGGAAUGCGUAGAGAUCCGGAAGAACACCGGAGGCGAAGGCGGCUUGCUGGGCUCGGUCUGACGCUGAGGCGCGAAAGCGUGGGGAGCAAACAGG
This 254-nucleotide ribosomal RNA is filed under the name uncultured bacterium. RNAcentral describes it as "partial 16S ribosomal RNA". It matches the Rfam family "Bacterial small subunit ribosomal RNA", at positions 524 to 776 of the family's 1533-position model. The record is from RNAcentral.